This 478-nucleotide ribosomal RNA is filed under the name uncultured organism. RNAcentral describes it as "partial 16S ribosomal RNA". It matches the Rfam family "Bacterial small subunit ribosomal RNA", at positions 330 to 799 of the family's 1533-position model. The record is from RNAcentral.
CGUACACUCCUGCGGGAGGCAGCAGUGGGGAAUAUUGCACAAUGGGCGCAAGCCUGAUGCAGCCAUGCCGCGUGUAUGAAGAAGGCCUUCGGGUUGUAAAGUACUUUCAGCGGGGAGGAAGGCGAUAAGGUUAAUAACCUUGUCGAUUGACGUUACCCGCAGAAGAAGCACCGGCUAACUCCGUGCCAGCAGCCGCGGUAAUACGGAGGGUGCAAGCGUUAAUCGGAAUUACUGGGCGUAAAGCGCACGCAGGCGGUCUGUCAAGUCGGAUGUGAAAUCCCCAGGCUCAACCUGGGAACUGCAUUCGAAACUGGCAGGCUAGAGUCUUGUAGAGGGGGGUAGAAUUCCAGGUGUAGCGGUGAAAUGCGUAGAGAUCUGGAGGAAUACCGGUGGCGAAGGCGGCCCCCUGGACAAAGACUGACGCUCAGGUGCGAAAGCGUGGGGAGCAAACAGGAUUAGAAACCCCGGUAGUCCCAUG